AGGAUGAACGCUGGCGGUCUGCUUAACACAUGCAAGUCGAACGGAGUAGCAAUACUUAGUGGCGGACGGGUGAGUAACGCGUGAGAAUCUACCUUCAGGACGGAGACAACAGUUGGAAACGACUGCUAACCCCCGAUGUACCGAAAGGGCAAAUAUUUAUAGCCUGAAGAAGAGCUCGCGUCCGAUUAGCUAGUUGGAGAGGUAAAAAGCUCACCAAGGCGACGAUCGGUAGCUGGUCUGAGAGGACGAUCAGCCACACUGGGACUGAGACACGGCCCAGACUCCUACGGGAGGCAGCAGUGGGGAUUUUCGCAAUGGGCGAAAGCCUGACGGAGCAAGACCGCGUGGGGGAAGAAGGCUCUUGGGUUGUAAACCCCUUUUCUCUGGGAAGAACACAAUGACGGUACCAGAGGAAUCAGCAUCGGCUAACUCCGUGCCAGCAGCCGC
RNAcentral lists this ribosomal RNA (447 nucleotides) under uncultured bacterium. RNAcentral's name for it is "SSU rRNA". It matches the Rfam family "Bacterial small subunit ribosomal RNA", at positions 26 to 518 of the family's 1533-position model. The record is from RNAcentral.